AUGAGUUAUCAGCGUGGGGAAGAGGUUUGAAUGCAUGAAUUUCCAAAAGGAACGAAUGUUUUGCUCGAACAUCCAAUGCACAAGAUGUGGUGGAAUUGUGCAGCUAACCUUCACUGAUUCGUUCGACCGAUAUAUCGCGACCACGUCGUUGUACUUUCCGCUUUGACAGUCGGCAAGAAACCCAGCCCGGGUUCCUUGGCAAUAUUCCUGCAACCUGUCAGCGGGUUCUGUUCUUUCCCUUCCUCUUCUUUUCUUUUCUUUCCCUUGACCAGUUCUCCAGGUGCAUGUCACACAAAAAAACGAAGAA
Molecule: small RNA, 307 nt
Filed under: Histoplasma capsulatum var. duboisii H88
Lineage: Eukaryota; Fungi; Ascomycota; Eurotiomycetes; Onygenales; Ajellomycetaceae
Description: Histoplasma capsulatum H88 hypothetical RNA
Source: RNAcentral